UACAGAGGUCCCAACCGUUGUUCGGAUUCAUUGGGCGUAAAGGGUGCGUAGGCGGCCGGUUGCGUCUGCUGUGAAAUCCCGGGGCUUAACCCCGGGCGUGCAGUGGAUACGGGCCGGCUGGAGGCAGGCAGGGGAGAAUGGAAUUCCCGGUGUAGCGGUGAAAUGCGCAGAUAUCGGGAGGAACACCGGUGGCGAAGGCGGUUCUCUGGGCCUGUACUGACGCUGAGGAGCGAAAGCGUGAGGAGCAAACAGG
Molecule: ribosomal RNA, 253 nt
Filed under: uncultured bacterium
Lineage: Bacteria
Description: partial 16S ribosomal RNA
Rfam family: Bacterial small subunit ribosomal RNA
Source: RNAcentral